AAGCACUUUACCACGAUUCCUUCGGGAUGACGGUUUAGUGACUGAGUGGCGGACGGGUGAGUAACGCGUGGGGAACCUGCCCCAUACCGGGGGAUAACAGCCGGAAACGGCUGCUAAUACCGCAUAAGCGCACAGUACCGCAUGGUACGGUGUGAAAAACUCCGGUGGUAUGGGAUGGACCCGCGUCUGAUUAGCCAGUUGGCGGGGUAACGGCCCACCAAAGCGACGAUCAGUAGCCGGCCUGAGAGGGCGACCGGCCACAUUGGGACUGAGACACGGCCCAGACUCC
RNAcentral lists this ribosomal RNA (289 nucleotides) under uncultured Lachnospiraceae bacterium. Its description in RNAcentral is "partial 16S ribosomal RNA". The stretch from base 51 to 289 matches the Rfam family "Bacterial small subunit ribosomal RNA", at positions 100 to 339 of the family's 1533-position model. The record is from RNAcentral. Lineage: Bacteria; Bacillati; Bacillota; Clostridia; Lachnospirales; Lachnospiraceae.